RNAcentral lists this ribosomal RNA (253 nucleotides) under uncultured bacterium. RNAcentral describes it as "partial 16S ribosomal RNA". It matches the Rfam family "Bacterial small subunit ribosomal RNA", at positions 524 to 776 of the family's 1533-position model. The record is from RNAcentral.
UACGUAGGGUGCAAGCGUUGUCCGGAAUUAUUGGGCGUAAAGGGCUCGUAGGCGGUCCAUCGCGUCGGGAGUGAAAAGCUGGGGCUUAACCCCAGUCCUGCUUCCGAUACGGGUGGACUAGAGGUAGGUAGGGGAGAACGGAAUUCCUGGUGUAGCGGUGAAAUGCGUAGAUAUCGUAAGGAAGACCAGUGGCGAAGGCGGGUCUCUGGACAGUUCCUGACGCUGAGGCACGAAGGUCGGGGGAGCAAACGGG